RNAcentral lists this long non-coding RNA (424 nucleotides) under Olea europaea subsp. europaea. The record is from RNAcentral. Lineage: Eukaryota; Viridiplantae; Streptophyta; Magnoliopsida; Lamiales; Oleaceae.
UUUUUAUACUAUGACAAGAGAUUAGACUAUGUUAGAUUGUGUCAUUUUUCUAAACCAUUAGAAAAUUUUUGCACUCUGUUUUUCAUCUUCCUAUCACUUUGUGUUAAAAGAUAUUCCCUUGAUUUUUCUAAUUUCCUUUUUACUUCUUUAAUAUCCUAUAACCCUUUUUAGGAAUUUUCUUUUUAGUUUCAACUAUUUUUUUCUCAUUCAUCUCUGUUUUGUACUGUUUUCAUAUCUCUACUUGAAUACUGAUGCUUGAACAAUGCCUCCUUUUGUGCAUGGAGAAGUAUACGUCUUGGACGACGGAGAAGAGGUUAAAAAAACAUCCUUUAAUCAAGCUUAGUUUGUUUAGAUUUGUACAUUUGGUUUCACUUGAAUUUAGUUUUUUUUUUUUUUUUUUUUUAAACUACAGUGUUAAAUCUUG